GGCGUGAUCCGAUUCGAGGACACUGCCAGGUGGGGAGUUUGACUGGGGCGGUACAUCUGUCAAAUGAUAACGCAGGUGUCCUAAGGCCAGCUCAGCGAGGACAGAAACCUCGCGUAGAGCAAAAGGGCAAAAGCUGGCUUGAUCCUGAUUUUCAGUACGAAUACGGACUGCGAAAGCACGGCCUAUCGAUCCUUUUGGCUUCGAGAGUUUCGAGCAAGAGGUGUCAGAAAAGUUACCACAGGGAUAACUGGCUUGUGGCAGCCAAGCGUUCAUAGCGACGUUGCUUUUUGAU
RNAcentral lists this ribosomal RNA (292 nucleotides) under Skeletonema menzelii. RNAcentral describes it as "partial Eukaryotic large subunit ribosomal RNA". It matches the Rfam family "Eukaryotic large subunit ribosomal RNA", at positions 2583 to 2874 of the family's 3401-position model. The record is from RNAcentral. Lineage: Eukaryota; Bacillariophyta; Thalassiosirophyceae; Thalassiosirales; Thalassiosiraceae.